CCUCUCGCCCUGUUGCCUUUCCCGUCCGACGGAUCUCCGCCUUCUCUCGCCCUGUUGCCUGUCCCAUCCGACGGAUCUCCGCCUUCUUCGUCCUGUUGCCUGUCCCGUCCGACAUCCCGUCCGCCUUCUGCCGUACUCUCCGCCUUCUCUCGCCUUGUUGCCUGUCUCGUCCGACAUCCCAUCCGCCUUCUCCCGUCUGAUAAGCAUGGCACUCGCGGGCUCUUCCUCGUUGUCUCUUCUGCUUUACCUCUCUCUAGCUACUAUAAAUACUAAACGGUGCGAAGGGGUGCGGGCAAGCGAGCGGAGAAGGGCGCGUGCGGGAGCGGCGCGCGGGAGCGAGCCGGGGCGCGAGCGUGCGCCCGGAGCGGGUCGGUCGCAGAGGGCAGCAGGUGCAAGCACGGGCGUGCGAGGGCGCGAGCGGGUGCCGGGCGUGGUUCGCUCGCAGGGGGCAGCACGUGCGGGCGCGGCGCAGGCGGGCAGCUCUCCCUCUCCCUCUUCCCCCACCUAUCUCCGGAGAAACAUCGAGUUAACAAACAACUGAGAGUGAUUGUUUUUAGUGUCACCCUUUCCUCAUUCUCUGUCUCUUGCACUCCAAGUGUUUGAUGAAUUGCCUCUGCAGUGGUGAAGUUGCUUUGGUCUGAGCUUAUUAUCUGGAGGAUUAUGGCUUUAUCUUUCAUAGCCGAAUCGGUGGCGUCGGCGAUCAUCAAGGCGUGCCCGGCGGCUAGCGGCAUGCAGGAAAAUCCUCCUAAAUUUGGAGAAAUUCAGAAGCUGGGUAAUCAAAAACCUCGAAAUUACUACGUAAAUGGAUCGAUCAGGGAUCAAGCACUUCCUUCGAUCUCUUCUCCACAUUCGAUUGCGGCCUUGAUGGGAGCUUCACACGUAGAAGUGUUUGCUUCUAUACAGAGAGGUCGCGUCGGAGAAGAAUGAGCACGGCAAUUGCAGCAAUGUGUGAGAGAUUGAGAAAGAUUUGAUGAUGGAGAAUGCGGAUGAAGCAGGGGAUGAUCAGGGAUCAGGUUGGUUUGAAGUGAAAAAGAAACACAGAAGCAGCUCAAAGCUCUCAAUACAAAAGGCUUCUGGGGCAAUGUUUUGUCUAUUGUUGGUUACUUUGCUUGCACCUGAAUGUGAUAAGAAUUUGAAAUUCCCCGAGACUUUUGUCUUCCCUGCUUUCCUCACUUUGGAUGGCUUACGUCGUCAGCAACCAGUUGUUCUCAUUUGUGCUAAGAAUAGUUCCGGCGUGUGCAUGGUUUCUAGCUCGGUCAGCACUACUAAUCAGGAAGGCUUCGCUGCCAAUCUAAUAAUGCUAGAUCACUAGGGGAGUGUGAGCAAAAUUUAUUUAUUUAUUUCCAUACCUACUCAUGUUUGCUGCUCCUCUUCACUUUUCUCUUCUUUGUAAACAUUGGUUUCAUGUUUUUUUAAGCUAUUGGGAUUUCCCCAAACUGCAUCUUUGGCUUUGAUUUGUCAAAUAUGUGUUUUCACCUUGCUUUUACCUGCAUUCGAUUUUUUUUUCCCUUUUUGUUUCAACAUCCUUUGAAGACUUAGUUAUUUUACAUCAUUGUUUCAAGGUUUUCUACAGAUAAAACUCUGUUCUUUUGCUUUUCCUUCAGCCUGAUUUUCGAAACAAAAAAAUUAUAUGCCGUGGAAUCCGCAAGUCCCUUUUUUGGUUUCUACAGGUUCCCUAUGUCUUCCUGCUGGCUGUCGACUCUUUGUUGUUCUUCAUAGCUGUGUCCUGUGUAGUUUAUAAUAAUGUUUUGUCCUUUGUGGGGGUACUUUGCUUUCGCCUCUUUUUGUCCCAUACUAUGAUUACCUUCCCUUGAAUGUUAGAUGACUGCGACAAUUGAGCUUUCGCCUGUUGUUGUCCCAUACUAUGCUGACCUUCCCUUGAAUGUGAAAUAAUUGCGAUAAUUGAGAGGGGCCCGGGCCUUCUUGGCUGGUGGUUAGAGCACUUUGGAUGGCCUGCAUCAUAGGCAACCGGUGGCUACUUAAUUUAUUUGAAAUUUAAGUUGAUACCUUUGUUUUAAAUUAAGAAACUUCUAUAUACUCAAUGCAUGAGGUGGCUUGGAUUUGCCGAUGGUAGUUGGUACAA
This is a long non-coding RNA of Ananas comosus (pineapple), 2083 nucleotides long. RefSeq lists it as uncharacterized. The record is from RefSeq and is a predicted model, not a curated record. The transcript is spliced from 4 exons. NCBI's taxonomy places the organism in Eukaryota, Viridiplantae, Streptophyta, Magnoliopsida, Poales, Bromeliaceae.